GAAUUACUGGGUGUAAAGGGAGCGCAGUCGGGCGAUCAAGUAGUAAGUGAAAUACAUGGGCUCAUCCCAUGAAAUGCUUUCAAAAAUGAUUGUGUCGGGUAGUGCAGAGGUAGUCGGAAUUCUCGGUGUAGCGGUGGAAUGAGUAGAUAUCGGGAGGAACACCUGUGGUGAAGGCGGCAUACUGGGCGCCAACUGACGAUGAGGCUGGUAAGUGUGGGUAGCAUACAGGAUUAGAUACCCUCGUAGUCCUCCCCGUAAUCGAUGAUUAAUAGGUGUUGGAGGAUUGACCCCUUCAGUGCCCCAGUUAACACAAUAAGUAAUCCACCUGGGGAGUACGACCGCAAGGUUGCAACUCAAAUGAAUUGACGGA
RNAcentral lists this ribosomal RNA (370 nucleotides) under uncultured organism. Its description in RNAcentral is "bacterial SSU rRNA". It matches the Rfam family "Bacterial small subunit ribosomal RNA", at positions 548 to 917 of the family's 1533-position model. The record is from RNAcentral.